ACGCACGCUGGCGGCGUGCUUAACACAUGCAAGUCGAACGGAAAGGCCCUGCUUUUGUGGGGUGCUCGAGUGGCGAACGGGUGAGUAACACGUGAGUAACCUGCCCUUGACUUUGGGAUAACUUCAGGAAACUGGGGCUAAUACCGGAUAGGAGCUCCUGCUGCAUGGUGGGGGUUGGAAAGUUUCGGCGGUUGGGGAUGGACUCGCGGCUUAUCAGCUUGUUGGUGGGGUAGUGGCUUACCAAGGCUUUGACGGGUAGCCGGCCUGAGAGGGUGACCGGCCACAUUGGGACUGAGAUACGGCCCAGACUCCUACGGGAGGCAGCAGUGGGGAAUAUUGCACAAUGGGCGGAAGCCUGAUGCGGCAACGCCGCGUGCGGGAUGACGGCCUUCGGGUUGUAAACCGCUUUCGCCUGUGACGAAGCGUGAGUGACGGUAAUGGGUAAAGAAGCACCGGCUAACUACGUG
This 467-nucleotide ribosomal RNA is filed under the name uncultured bacterium. RNAcentral describes it as "partial 16S ribosomal RNA". It matches the Rfam family "Bacterial small subunit ribosomal RNA", at positions 29 to 507 of the family's 1533-position model. The record is from RNAcentral.